RNAcentral lists this ribosomal RNA (484 nucleotides) under uncultured bacterium. Its description in RNAcentral is "partial 16S ribosomal RNA". It matches the Rfam family "Bacterial small subunit ribosomal RNA", at positions 30 to 507 of the family's 1533-position model. The record is from RNAcentral.
AUUGAACGCUGGCGGCAGGCCUAACACAUGCAAGUCGAGCGGAUGAAGGGAGCUUGCUCCUGGAUUCAGCGGCGGACGGGUGAGUAAUGCCUAGGAAUCUGCCUGGUAGUGGGGGAUAACGUCCGGAAACGGGCGCUAAUACCGCAUACGUCCUGAGGGAGAAAGUGCGGGAUCUUCGGACCUCACGCUAUCAGAUGAGCCUAGGUCGGAUUAGCUAGUUGGUGGGGUAAAGGCCUACCAAGGCGACGAUCCGUAACUGGUCUGAGAGGAUGAUCAGUCACACUGGAACUGAGACACGGUCCAGACUCCUACGGGAGGCAGCAGUGGGGAAUAUUGGACAAAGGGCGAAAGCCUGAUCCAGCCAUGCCGCGUGUGUGAAGAAGGUCUUCGGAUUGUAAAGCACUUUAAGUUGGGAGGAAGGGCAGUAAGUUAAUACCUUGCUGUUUUGACGUUACCAACAGAAUAAGCACCGGCUAACUUCGUG